UACGAAGGGGGCGAGCGUUGUUCGGAUUUACUGGGCGUAAAGGGCGCGUAGGCGGCCCUCCUUGUCGCGUGUGAAAGCCCCGGGCUCAACCUGGGAAUUGCGCGCGAAACGGGGGGGCUUGAGUUCGGGAGAGGAGCGUGGAAUUCCCAGUGUAGAGGUGAAAUUCGUAGAUAUUGGGAAGAACACCGGUGGCGAAGGCGGCGCUCUGGACCGAGACUGACGCUGAUGCGCGAAAGCCAGGGGAGCGAACGGG
This 253-nucleotide ribosomal RNA is filed under the name uncultured bacterium. Its description in RNAcentral is "partial 16S ribosomal RNA". It matches the Rfam family "Bacterial small subunit ribosomal RNA", at positions 524 to 776 of the family's 1533-position model. The record is from RNAcentral.